Balaenoptera musculus (blue whale) is the source of this 1317-nucleotide long non-coding RNA. RefSeq lists it as uncharacterized. NCBI's taxonomy places the organism in Eukaryota, Metazoa, Chordata, Mammalia, Artiodactyla, Balaenopteridae. The transcript is spliced from 4 exons. The record is from RefSeq and is a predicted model, not a curated record.
UCUGACCACGUCCUAGGCAUGAUGCUGGGUCCUGGGGAAAGAAGGGUGAACAGAUCACAGCCUGAUCCCUGCUCUCACGACUUUAUAUCACAGCUGGAGACAGACGACAAGACAGUAACAAUCACCACAGCAGCAGCGAACCCAAACAGCACGCUCUGAUGGGAAACACCGGGAUGAGAGAACCGGCUAGAUAGCCUGAGAUCUGAAGGCUGAGGAGGUACCGGCUCUGGAGGUCUCAGCCUUCCUCCAUCACUGAAGGCCUUGGGCAUUGCCUGUUUGAUUUCUCUCUUCUGAGAAGCAUCUGCUCCUGCCCCACCACUGAGGAUACCUCCCUUUUUCAGCCCCAGUCCUCAGCUGCUUUUAAUUUCAUGAUUAUCAGCCACGAGGAAUCGGUUUCUUGAUGACUCAGGAGCGAGGGACGCUGGGAGUUCUCUACCUGGGGCUUCUUCCUCAAGAACUCAUCCCAAGUCCCCUGCAAGGGAGCAGCCUUCCCUGAUCAGCACUGAGUCUGUUUGAGAUGCUCCAGGUCUGGCCGUCAUGGCCCUGGUGACCUCGUGGUUUUUUUGGCUUUAAAUCUCCAGCAACCGGCAAAGCAUCCGGUACGCAGGGGAUGCUUGAUAGAUACUUCUUGAACAAAUGAAUUCAUGGAGGAGUGAACGGACAAAUAAACCAGGCCAGUGUUCAGGCUCCCCUUUAAUUUGGAGGAACAUAAGCAGGCUUGUCGGAUGCAAGCCUGCAAGCCGGGAUUCAGCCAACAGACACGGGCAGUUGUUGAUUACAUCAAACGCGUCCCCAGGCCCGUGGAGGAGGCGACCGCGUGUGCUACCAGCAUCACAGUUCCCUCCAGGGCGAGGAUCCAGAGCUUUUCCAGGGGAAUCCUGAGGUGGUCUGGCUCAAAGCCCGGCUGGCCUGUCUGCUUCUUCCGAAGAGACGAUGACGGCCAGGAGUGCAGACUUCAAUGCCUACGGAUGCCAGAUGGGGACACCAAGGCUCAGAGCGAGGAAGCCACUGUUAAUAAGUGGAUGAGGCAGAAUUCACAACCGGGUCUUCUGACUCUAAAUUCAACACUUAGUAGAGAAGAACAUCUGUAUCUGCUUUAAAAUUUUAUGGAGACUGAUGAAAUACCGUACGUUUAAUACUUUGGAGAGAAAAUGUGAAGCAAAUAAAGUUUGCAUUUUAAGAGAUGAGAAGGGCAAGGGUGUCAUUCUUUUUUGGGUCUGGAUUUUGAGGUAUGUUCUUGAAAGUUUGGUGCUUGGUUGUUACCUACAGUAUAAAACUAGACUAACAAUUAUGGGGAAAUCUGGAGAGCAGACCUUC